AAAUUUUCAUUUUAGUUUUACAUGUUCUUGCCACUACUAGAAAACUAGGUAUCAGCGACGGACAUUUCCGUCGGAAAUCCGUCGCUAAAGGAUUAGCAACGGAAACUGGCCGUCGAAAAAAUCUUGCUCGCUAAUGGUCAACGACAGAUUUAGCGACGGAUCACUUACGGAUUCAGUUGUCGCAAAAUGAUCCAAAAUUUUGUGAAUUCUAUCGCAAAUCCGUUGCUAAUGAUGGGUAAAUGAGUAGUUUUUAUGUUUCUAAUAUUACUGCUGAAUCGGUCGAUAACCAAAAUUCACAAAUGAAAUUCAAAUUUAUACCCCAAAACAUUACAUUGACAUCCCACUACCAAAAUAAUGAUUAAAUUCGACUUACAAAAUAAUCAUUCAUAUUCAAUUUCUUAUUUCCUAAACCUAUUAACAAAAAUCAAAAGUUCCAAAGUCUAGUUAAGUGGUUAAGUUGUUUCCUUGAUCUUUAGGAGUAAGUUACACCUCCUGGCGAUUUCACUACUAGAAACUAGGACCUCGCAUUCGUCAAAUAGUUCCUCUUACUUCCUUACAAACAUGAUUGAGAUAACCUACAAAUAUGAAACCUAAUCCAUAAAUAAAUAAAUGGAAGCAUAAUUCUAUAAUACUUAUGGUUAUUUUUGCUUUUUCUUAUUUAUACAACAUUACUGAAAUUAAUUUCCAUUAAAAAAGUUAAAAAGCAUGCAACUGCCUACCUGCAUUAACUUCACAGAAAGGUUUGUUUUAGUUGUUUCACUAUUUGCAAAGAACAUGCCUGGAAAUGGAAUGGAAUGAAUUAUACAUUAUGCUUUCAUCUAUGAAAUAUAUGUCAUCUACAACCACAUAUUUUGCCAAGUUUUUUAUGUACAACACAAGAAUAAGACUUACUACAUUAUAAUUUUACAAAAAGUAAUGCAAACUUACAAUAAGUGUAAAUCUUAAUUACUCUAUAAAGGUAAGAAUUACCAUGUACCUUACUACAUCCAACCUUUUCCUAAAAAGUAUCAAGUAUUUGUGAACAUGAAAUUUAAUUACCUCAGCUAAAGACUCGAACACUAAUUCACCACUAGAAAGAUCUGCAACAGUACUGGAGUUUGUACACACACAAAUUCAUGCAUUAGAGUAUACACACAUAGAGAUAUAUAUAAAUCAACUAAUUUAGUUAAGAACCUUCCACUCCCAUUCUUGAACCUUCCUCACAAACAUCAAACAAAACAUGCACCAACCAAAACGAACCAAAAAACUGAAAAAAACUAUCUAAAUAACAAAUAUCAUAAAUAUUUAUUUUGUGUAAUCAGACCAAUUUAGAAAGAAAAAACAGAACAACUUUUGUUUCUACGAAAUAAAAACACACAGUUAGAUAGAUAUAGAGGAAAACCUUAGUGAGGAAUUAAGAUUUUUGUGAGAAAGGUUGAGACGGUGGUUCAUGGGAUUUCAGGCUCGGCGGUGAUGAAGUGGUCAAAAGGAAUCAGAUGCAGUGGUCCUACUCUCGUCUUCAUGUUUCUCUCUGUCCUUUGCUUCUUCCCAUAUCUAAAAGUCGGAAUAGAAGAAAAGAAGCCACAUACGAACUGAAGAAGAUGAGCCAGCACAUUAGCUACAGGAAAGAAGCCAAAGACAGAAACUUACUUGGGUUAAAUUUCAUCGACAGGAAGGGUCGUCAUGAUAUCGAGGGUCUUGGCUAGGGUUUCCUUCUGUUGGAAUCGAGUUUUAGGAACAUAAAGAAGACGACUAUUAGUAUCGAUUUGGGAUGAGUGCCGAUUUGCAAGACGAGUGUCGAUUUGGGCUUUGGAUUUCAGAAACAAGCAUGAGAGAUAACUAGUGAAUGUCGAUUUAGGAGGGAGAAUGGGGGGAAAUGAAAAUAAUUGGGAUGAGGAGCGGGGGAAAUGAAAUAUUUGGGAGGGCUUAACAAAAAUUAGUGACCGAAAUAUUUGUGAGUUUCUGAUUCCGUCAGUAAUCCCUUUCUAAUCCCUCGCUAACAUGCUAAAAUUUACACCUUAUCUACAAAAAUGAUUUUCGUGGCAUAUCCCUUGUAAAUCAGUCACUAAUUAGCUAGGGAUUUUUUCUGUCGCUGAUGCCUAGUUUUCU
RNAcentral lists this long non-coding RNA (2088 nucleotides) under Lactuca sativa (garden lettuce). Its description in RNAcentral is "long non-coding RNA (LSAT_LNC009144)". The record is from RNAcentral. Lineage: Eukaryota; Viridiplantae; Streptophyta; Magnoliopsida; Asterales; Asteraceae.